GAGCCAGUGGCUCAAUGGUUAGAGCGUUUGACUUCUGAACAACGGGUCGCGGUUCAAAUCCUUGGGUUA
Molecule: transfer RNA, 69 nt
Filed under: Schistocephalus solidus
Lineage: Eukaryota; Metazoa; Platyhelminthes; Cestoda; Diphyllobothriidea; Diphyllobothriidae
Rfam family: tRNA
About the family: Transfer RNA (tRNA) molecules are approximately 80 nucleotides in length. Their secondary structure includes four short double-helical elements and three loops (D, anti-codon, and T loops).
Source: Rfam by way of RNAcentral